AAUAAAAGAAGAAUAAAUUGGAAAUAAUUUGAGCUUGAAUUGAUAGGUGAAACUUGUGUAUCUGUCUCUUAUUAGCCCUAAUUUUUAACAAUAAGUUAGGUACUUUGAGUUCUAUGGUAGCACAUGCCUGGCAGUCUUAGCCUUUUGGCAGAUCAAUUGUAGCUGUCUCAAAUCAGGGUUGAAGGUGGAGGACGUGAACAUGAUGAUUUUUCUGUACUAUUUGAAGUUGGAAAACUUUGAGGAGAGGCUUAGAUUUUUAUAACCUGCUCUGUCCUAAAGCACUUAAAUUUGUUUCUCAGUUCCAGAAGGAGAUCUUAUUUCCUGGGGUAUAAUCUAGACAAGAAUGUGGAUGCUGUUGUGUGUCCUUUUGAAGUUGCAUUGGUUUAAAAAGGUGGAUGCUUCUCCUGGUCACACAUGAAAAGAAACAAUCCUUUAAGAAUAGACAGAAUUCAGGACAGAAUCUGAAGCUGCAAACUGAAAUCACGUAUCAGUAUCUCUUAUAAGGUGGUUAAAGCUGUGCCCCAGUGUGGGGCAGAGAGGUCAUUUUACAUAGUCCUCCUUUUGGUUAUUAGCCUGAAAAAAUCCCAUAUGCAAGUUCUUGAAUGUUGUGAAUACCUUUCUUAGGCAGCUAGCUUGGGUUUGUAAAUUCUGCUCCUGGCGUUUCUAAAAGUAAGUUUUAUACUUACCAGUGUUUAUGUGGAUUUAGCCCUAAAUCCUAAAGCCCUGGCAAACAGUUGAUUUUUCAAAUAACUUGUAUUUUUUUGCAAUCUAAUAGCUUUCACUUAGCUGCCAUUUUCUAAGUAUGCAGUAGCUGUCAGUGACUCUGCUAAACUUUUUGUAGAACAGACGCCUUUGUAUGCUGUGGUGAUGAUCUGAGUUCCUGAUCCUCAAAGACUCGAGCGAUGCGUAUUUGUUGUGUGUGGAUCUGCUCAGUGUGCAUGGAGCUUAUGUGGGACCAAAGCCCAAACAGAGAAGCUGCAGAAUGUAAUAAGAAAAGCAGAUGCGAACAGACUGAUCUGUGAUAAGCACUGCAUCUUAAUGUUAAAAUCAUAAAUCACUUCAUCUUCCUUGCACGAUAAUACUAACUCUGCAAGUUUGUCCUUCUUCCAAAGCGUGGAAAAGGUCCUACUCCUACAACUGAGGAUGUGAAGUUGAGUAUGACAAAGUAAAAAUCCAAGGUAUGGAUUUAUGGAUUUUAGUUUCUGCAGUUAGGAAAUUGACCUCUUGGUUUCUUGAUUGCAGCAGCAGUGAAUUUGAUGGACACUAAAUAUCUGCUGGAUGUCAUUAGGUUUUUCUUCAUCAUGGCUUUGUCUGAAAAAGUUUAUUCUGCUCAUGAGUCUCUCUUCUUGGCAAGGUUUUUUUCUGUUUCACACUUCAGGUCAGACUUUUAACUGAGGUGGCGAGUAGUGUGAGAGUACAUUCAUAGAUAAGCAAUACCAUUAAUACAAGAUGUUUAUUUCUCAUUUCUCUACAAAAGAUCUUUGGGUUUUGCAGAUUCGGUGCUGCACAUGUUACUGCUAUUUACCGUACGGAUGGUUUGACUCAAUUAUAAGUAAUGAAACUUUAUUAUCACUUGUGAAGCCCUUUAUAGGUAAAAGUUAAAACAUGAUGACAGCAAUGGCUUGUUGCAUCUCUGCUACAGUUCUGUUUAAUUUCUGUAUCUGAUUCACAUUGCUUCUUCCAUAGAGAAUCAUAAAGCAUCUAGAAGAGAUGUAGCAAGGCAGUUUUCCUCAUUCUCUAGGGUCUCCAACAAGUGAGCUUGUGUAUGUUUGCUUACCUGGCAUUUGUGGUUAUCUGGCAAGGGCCUAUAAGAUCUCUUUCUAUUCACUGCAGUAAUACUGUAUAAAACUGCAGAUGACAAAUUCUUGUUGACCUCAAUUAUUUCUUGUAAAUUCUUGACCUCUGAAUUUCACCAAGCUAAGGGUGCACGCUUAACCUACGCUAUUUCUUUUUUUUCCCUUUUUUUUUUUUUUUUUCAAAUAUGGUCAGUAUCAGUAUAUCUGUAUUUUAAGGAUCAAGUUUUUUUACAUUGUUGGAGUAGGAGGUAACUGAGAAUUUAUAGGACCUAAGUGUUUUAAAAUACAUUUCAGGCUCAGAAGACGAAACAGAAAAACUCGAAGAUACGGCGUUUUGGAUACAAACAUAGAAAACAUGGAGUUGACUCCAUUAGAACAAGAUGAUGAAGAUGAUGAUACAACGCUAUUUGAUGCCAAUCAUCCUCGAAGAUAAGUACGUGCCUUUCAGUGAAAGAACUUAAUCAUGAAACCAGAGAAAGAGACUGCUUCAUAGGAGGAGUAAGAAGCCAAAACAGCAAGAUGGUAUGGAAGUUGGGGGAAUAAUUUAAAUUGUGUAUAUUAUGGCAUCCUUAAUUUGUUGCAAUAAAUACUGUACCAAUUUGUUGUACCUUUUUGUAUAUAUAUAUAGAAUUCUAAAUGUAAAGCCUAAGGAGCAAGUGUGCACUAAAAUCGAAACCUAUUUGGAAGUGAGAUUACUUCUAGAACAGGGUAUUUUUUGCUUGUUCUAAAUCUUGUAUGCCAUAAGUGUGGUAUACACUUUUUCUACAGUAACCUGGAAUGUUAACUAACUUUUUGCUCAUGUAAAAUUGUAAGUAAACAUUAAGUAGCAUAGCCUCUGUGAACUCUUCGGUAUUGUUGGAACUUGAUUUUAGUCGAAAAGAUGCUUUACCCUUUGCAAACAAAAAGCCAGACUACUGCCUUUUUUGUUAAGCCUUUUUUUAAACUAAAUUAACAUGUUGUAUGUAAACUAAGUGUAUAAAUAAAAGUGUUUACAAUGUUCCUA
Molecule: non-coding RNA, 2799 nt
Organism: Struthio camelus australis
Lineage: Eukaryota; Metazoa; Chordata; Aves; Struthioniformes; Struthionidae
Source: RefSeq, a predicted model, not a curated record